RNAcentral lists this long non-coding RNA (335 nucleotides) under Cricetulus griseus (Chinese hamster). Its description in RNAcentral is "lncRNA (ENSCGRG00015029951.1)". The record is from RNAcentral. Lineage: Eukaryota; Metazoa; Chordata; Mammalia; Rodentia; Cricetidae.
AUUAUAGGUGUGUCUUCUUACCUCAAGAUUCACAUCAAGAAAGUGUGUCUUCCACCCUCAAGAUCUGGAUCAAAGGCAUGUUGUCUCCCUGCUUCAAAAUCUGGUUCACCCUUCAUCCAGUAACUGAUGGAGCAGAUGCAGAGAUCCAUAGCCAAGCACUGGGCCAAGCUCUGGGACUCCAGUUGAAAAGAGGGAGGAUGGAUUAUAGAGUGUGACGGCUGUAUGUUGCCCGUUUUCCUGGCCUGCUCAGCUGUUUCACGUUUCUGAAGGUUCCUGGCCAUAGAUGCCGUAUUGGAAGACCACACAAGGGAAUAGCUUGCCCAAAAGGAAGAAAC